Molecule: non-coding RNA, 1246 nt
Organism: Camellia sinensis
Lineage: Eukaryota; Viridiplantae; Streptophyta; Magnoliopsida; Ericales; Theaceae
Source: RefSeq, a predicted model, not a curated record
CUCUUCCUUCUGUUCAUAACGCCGCUUAAACUUGGCAAUCUGCCCAACACUUUGAGCCAUCUGCCGCCUUGCUCUAAAGUGAUAAACUUUACCAACUUGGUGUAUCUUGGUCAUCAUAACAUGCAUCAAUCGGCCACUCUGGGUAACAUAGGAUAUCCAUUGCAUCUGAGGGUGCACUCCUUUCUUCAUUUUCUAAUUACUGGCAAUGCAAGAGAACUUUGUUAAACAGAGCUAUAGGAACUUGCGAGCAGGGCUGGCCCUAAGUUAUUGGGAGCCCUAGGCGAGCUCUUAAUUCACACAAAAAAAGUUUGAUUGUAACAUUAUAAAUGCCCAUAAAAUUUUAUUUACUAGUACCCACACGACAAAAUUUGUUUGAGUCGUACCUGUCACUUUUGACAAUCAGGAUUUAUUCAAUCCAAUGGCUAGAAGCUCAGUUUUGGAAUCUUGAAAAAGACAUUUGUCCUACCUAUCACUUUUGACAAUCUGGAUUUAUUCAAUCCUAUGGCUAGAAAUAUAUUUUGAGUCAACGGCUUGGAUUGCUUGGAUUAGUUCUAUUCUAGAUCCAAAGGUCCAUUUUGUCAAACACUCUUACUAUCUGCCUUCAGAUACAAUUUUGAGUUUCAAAUUUUGAAAUCCAGGUACACGAAUCAUCUUCUUCAUCUCAGAUUCUCUCUUCCUCCCCCUCCCAAUACCCAUCAUCACGCUCACACUUUCUCAAAGUAAAACCCUAAAAUUAGUGAUGAAUACCACAAAAACGUAAUGCGCCAUUUAGUUAAUAGAAAUGAGAUGGAAUGGAAUGGAAUGAUUAUUCCGUAGGCUCUCUUAUAGAAUGAUCAUUCUCUUACAAUGGUGAAUGACGAUUCUAUUUAUAAAUGUAUUUUUCAUUAAUUUUUUAGUCAACCAAACAUGGAAAUAGACAAUUUGAUUGAAUGAUCAUUCCAUUCCACUUCAUUCCAUUGAACCAAACAUUACAUAAGAGGAUGAAGAUGAUGUGACAUUGGCAAAGAGGACCGCCAUUCUGGCAUAUUCUUCAUCCUCAAAAUUGCGUGCAUCAACUCCAGCACAACCUCUCCAAGCAAAAUAUUAUGUUUUGAUCUUAGAUUCUGUUUUGAAUCAUUAAGGCCACUAAAGCCUUAAUAGAGCUUCAUUUUCAACCACCUAAUGGAGCAUGAACUGUAGAAAGGAAUCUCUAUCUCUAUCCUAGAACAAUGAAGGUAUAUUAACUCUGUUUAUAAUUCUUGGUAAA